GAAAUGCGAUAAGUAGUGUGAAUUGCAGAAUUCAGUGAAUCAUCGAAUCUUUGAACGCACAUUGCGCCCUUUGGUAUUCCGAAGGGCAUACCUGUUCGAGCGUCAUUUCACCUCUCAAGCCUCUGUGCUUGGUCUUGGGCGGCUGUUGUCUGCACGACCCGCCUUAAAGUGAUCGGCUGCUGGUACCUGGACUACGGCGCACAGUAGAAUGUGGACGGCCGGGGUGCACGGGUGCCGGGCAGGCUGUACAAACGUCUUUUAUGUUUUGACCUCGGAUCAGGUAGGAAUACCCGCUGAACUUAA
Molecule: unclassified non-coding RNA, 303 nt
Filed under: uncultured Ascomycota
Lineage: Eukaryota; Fungi; Ascomycota
Description: sequence contains ITS1
Rfam family: 5.8S ribosomal RNA (bases 1-105)
Source: RNAcentral